CUGCAGGACAAGUUCGAGCAUCUUAAAAUGAUUCAACAGGAGGAGAUAAGGAAGCUCGAGGAAGAGAAAAAACAACUGGAAGGAGAAAUCAUAGAUUUUUAUAAAAUGAAAGCUUCCUCUGAAGCACUGCAGACUCAGCUGAGCACCGAUACAAAGAAAGACAAACAUCUAACAAUUUGGACAAGACAGCAAAUGCUAUUGUCCAAGUUUUCUAAAGAAGAAUCUGAAGUGAAAUGACAUCAAGAGACCUAUCAAGACCUGUAUCCAGGAAAAGACCAAACCAAUGCAGACCAAACCAAUGCAGAACUCCUAUGUGCUGAUGGUGGUCUUACAUUUCCCUAAGUUUCUGCCGACUAAACUGUGCACACGUUCUCAGGACCUCCUGAAGCUGCGUCACAGGCACUAAUCAAAGAACACAACCAAGAGUUUGGCCUUUUCUUCAGCACUGGGAAUUGUGAUCCAAAGCUUUUCCUGAUGAAGCACAAAGUUGGAGAAAAAAAACGCAAACUAAACAACAACAAUGAAACAGAACAGAGUGAAUCUGCUGUAGCUCAAGAGAGGACGUAGCUGCCCCCACUCCGCAUCCCCGGGCUCGGGUUUGCCUUGCUGACCUCUGCUGCCACCUGGUGCCGCACAGAGAAACUGAGGAGAAACCACAUCAGUCUCCUUCAGCCUCAGCUUCACAUCUGUGGGUCAAGUAACCCUUUCAGAAGCUGAAUAAUGUGGGAAAGCUUUCCUCUCAGGAAAAUGCACACAUCCAACUUUGAGAAGAUGCCCUUGGGGGCGCUUCAAGGAUUCUAGAUAAUAACCCCCUUUCCCGAACAUCCAAGAACCUAAGAUUUUUUUUUUUUUUUUGAGAAAGUCUCGCUCUCUCUCCCAGUCUGGAGUGCAGUGGCGUGAUCUUGGCUCACUGCCAGCUCCACCUCCCAGGUUCACGCCAUUCUCCUGCUUCAGCCUCCCUAGUAGCUGGGGCUACAGGCACCUGCCACCAAACCCGGCUAAUUUUUUUGUAUUUUUAGUAGAGACGGGGUUUCACCGUGUUAGCCAGGAUCGUCUUGAUCUCCUGACCUUGUGAUCCACCCGCCUCGGCCUCCCAAAUUGCUGGGAUUACAGAUGUGAGCCACCGCACCUGGUCCAAGAGCCCAAGUUUUAGAUCUAGAGUGAUGUCAGCAUGACAUUGAUUUCCUGAGGCCCAGGGGCGAAGGAGCUGAGGACAGCAGAGGGGUGAAGGAACUCAGCUACAGACAGCAGCAGCUGAUGCACAGGCCUCCCAGCGCCUGAAGUCACCCGGAAUUGGGAAGUGCUCAGAAGCUUACAAAGCUGCCUCGAGCAGAAGAAUCCCAGACUUCUUAGAGAACCCAGUGACUUUUUGCACCUUAAAUCUGUGAAAUCCUCAUGCUUUCUUCUGCCGUAUCCAUCGUUCAAACAAACAUGAGGCAAAGCUAGACACAUUCCUGAAGGAACCCAAGAAAUUCCUCUCUUUCUCUCUCUGGAAUGAAAUGAAUUCUCUAGACCACCAGUUCUAACCUUCAAAAACGAAACCUGUUUGUGAGAUCUCCUUCAAAUACUACUGUAGACCCCAGUGUUUAUUCAUUAAAUUUUUUAAACAUUUGUUUU
RNAcentral lists this long non-coding RNA (1617 nucleotides) under Homo sapiens (human). RNAcentral's name for it is "non-protein coding lnc-GAS8-1:9". Lineage: Eukaryota; Metazoa; Chordata; Mammalia; Primates; Hominidae. The record is from RNAcentral.